GACGAACGCUGGCGGCGUGCCUAAUACAUGCAAGUAGAACGCUGAAGGAGGAGCUUGCUUCUCUGGAUGAGUUGCGAACGGGUGAGUAACGCGUAGGUAACCUGCCUGGUAGCGGGGGAUAACUAUUGGAAACGAUAGCUAAUACCGCAUAAUAGUAGAUGUUGCAUGACAUUUGCUUAAAAGGUGCAAUUGCAUCACUACCAGAUGGACCUGCGUUGUAUUAGCUAGUUGGUGGGGUAACGGCUCACCAAGGCGACGAUACAUAGCCGACCUGAGAGGGGGAUCGGCCACACUGGGACUGAGACACGGCCCAGACUCCUACGGGAGGCAGCAGUAGGGAAUCUUCGGCAAUGGACGGAAGUCUGACCGAGCAACGCCGCGUGAGUGAAGAAGGUUUUCGGAUCGUAAAGCUCUGUUGUAAGAGAAGAACGAGUGUGAGAGUGGAAAGUUCACACUGUGGCGGUAUCUUACCAGAAAGGGACGGCUAACUACGUG
RNAcentral lists this ribosomal RNA (495 nucleotides) under uncultured bacterium. RNAcentral describes it as "partial 16S ribosomal RNA". It matches the Rfam family "Bacterial small subunit ribosomal RNA", at positions 28 to 507 of the family's 1533-position model. The record is from RNAcentral.